Parasteatoda tepidariorum (common house spider) is the source of this 265-nucleotide non-coding RNA. NCBI's taxonomy places the organism in Eukaryota, Metazoa, Arthropoda, Arachnida, Araneae, Theridiidae. The record is from RefSeq and is a predicted model, not a curated record.
CAAAGCAAUAUAUACAACAACAAAAAAAUCAAGGUUUUAAAAGUCAUGUGGAAACCUGUAGCGUUAUUGCCAGAAAACUAUCGAGAACCAUCUGACUUUGAAAUGAAAUCGUCAUAAAUCAAUCAUUUCUAUUUAUUGGCCAUUUCCAUUUAUUGGUCACAAUAUACAGCGAGAAAGUGAUGAGGAUUCAUUUGAGGAUAAUAUCAACCAAAGAAGUAAUAAUAAUUUACAAGAAAGUGACAAAAAAAUUGGAACACUACUGCAG